GAUGAACGCUGGCGGCGUGCUUAACACAUGCAAGUCGAAUGGAAAGGCCCAAGCUUGCUUGGGUACUCGAGUGGCGAACGGGUGAGUAACACGUGGGUGAUCUGCCCUGCACUUCGGGAUAAGCCUGGGAAACUGGGUCUAAUACCGGAUAGGACCACUUCUUGGAUGUUGUGGUGGAAAGUUUUUUCGGUGUGGGAUGAGCUCGCGGCCUAUCAGCUUGUUGGUGGGGUAAUGGCCUACCAAGGCGUCGACGGGUAGCCGGCCUGAGAGGGUGUACGGCCACAUUGGGACUGAGAUACGGCCCAGACUCCUACGGGAGGCAGCAGUGGGGAAUAUUGCACAAUGGGCGCAAGCCUGAUGCAGCGACGCCGCGUGGGGGAUGACGGCCUUCGGGUUGUAAACGCCUUUCGCUAGGGACGAAGCGUUUUGUGACGGUACCUGGAGAAGAAGCACCGGCUAACUACGUG
Molecule: ribosomal RNA, 467 nt
Filed under: uncultured bacterium
Lineage: Bacteria
Description: partial 16S ribosomal RNA
Rfam family: Bacterial small subunit ribosomal RNA
Source: RNAcentral